Molecule: transfer RNA, 75 nt
Filed under: uncultured archaeon
Lineage: Archaea
Description: tRNA-Phe(gaa)
Rfam family: tRNA
About the family: Transfer RNA (tRNA) molecules are approximately 80 nucleotides in length. Their secondary structure includes four short double-helical elements and three loops (D, anti-codon, and T loops). Further hydrogen bonds mediate the characteristic L-shaped molecular structure. tRNAs have two regions of fundamental functional importance: the anti-codon, which is responsible for specific mRNA codon recognition, and the 3' end, to which the tRNAs corresponding amino acid is attached (by aminoacyl-tRNA synthetases). tRNAs cope with the degeneracy of the genetic code in two manners: having more than one tRNA (with a specific anti-codon) for a particular amino acid; and 'wobble' base-pairing, i.e. permitting non-standard base-pairing at the 3rd anti-codon position.
Source: RNAcentral
GUCGCAGUAGCUCAGCUUGGGAGAGCGAUCGGCUGAAGACCGAUAUGUCGGGUGUUCAAAUCACCCCUGCGACAC